AAAGGGAGCAAGAGCUUAGGUAGGGAAGAAGAUGGAUUUUAUGGAGGAAGUUUUUAGAGAGAAUGAAGGGGAGAGAGAAAAAGGGAGAAAUCAUGGAUGAAGAACUAAAGCAAGCAAGAAGUUGGCGUGAAGGAUUUUGGAAGAAUGGUAGAUAAAGACUACAUAUUUUGGUUACUUCUGAGUUUCAAUAGGGGAUUAGAGGAACAGAAGCUGCUAUUCGACUCAUCAGUUUGUUGUUAUAUGUAGCCAAGCAUGGAGUUUUUAAUAGGAUCAUGGUUAUGUAAGUGUAAAUCGAACAAAUAUUGAGAAGAGUCGGGAGGACUUUGAGAAUUGAAUUUGACACAAUGGGAAAACAAGUGAAUGCGAUGACCAUUGGAGAUUAUUUCCAGCCAACUGUUCUUGUGUCACAGCCUCGAAUCGAAUUUGACAAAUGCAAACAAUUUCGAAUUAAAGCCUGGUUUAAUUCAAAUUGCGUGAGAUGGUGCAUUUAGAGGAACAUUGAAUGAGGACCUUCAUGAACAUAUUCAUGAUUUCCUGGAGACUUGUGGAACAGUAAAAUUAAAUGGGGUCUCUAAUAGCACCAAAAUUGUGUUAUUUUUCUCUUCUUAGUUCUAGGUCGCUACUAUGUUUAAUGUGUUUAUUUAAUGAUUUUAUAGGUAUUGAGUAUCUUGGAGGUGGAAUCAGUUAUUACGAGCUGUUCGGGGUUAAUUUGGACCAAUUAAGAGCUAAUUUGAGCAAUUGGGCUUUAAAAGGAUGUGAAAGGACGAAAAUACCCCUAGAUGGAGCAUAGCAACACACAACCGAGAAUUGCACAACACUACAAGAUAGUAGCCUCCAUAAUGCUAAAAAAUAGGGUAGCGUUGCGGCACGUGCGAGGCCUCACAAUGUUGUAACAUUGCAUUGCAGCGUUGUGACACUGCAACUACUAUAUAAAACAUUUCUUCUUCGUUUUUGGGUAGAUUUAUCACCUCCAAUUGGCCCUCCAGCCCAUUUCUUCAUCUUCUUACCUCUCCUACUUAUAAUUUUCUUCCUUUCUAUCAUGUAAUUAGUUGAAAUGGAGCUCAGAUUUGUCUUCUUCAUCCCGUGGGAAGGU
Molecule: long non-coding RNA, 1093 nt
Organism: Benincasa hispida (wax gourd)
Lineage: Eukaryota; Viridiplantae; Streptophyta; Magnoliopsida; Cucurbitales; Cucurbitaceae
Source: RefSeq, a predicted model, not a curated record